UGUUGUUGCCAAUAAGCAAUAUGGUGGUAUCCAGAUAGCUGUUGUUUGCAAAUGCCUCUGUUAUCCAAAGCUAAGAAAUGUUCCUUAGUUCAGAUGUGAAAUUUGGGGUUUUCGCUUCACAGUUUGUGGUGUAAAAAGUGUAUUUAUUUCACCUGUAGCUGGUGCUUCUUAUAGUGAAAUGUACGUGGAAUAGACAAGAAAAGAAGCUGUCAGAGGGGGGAAAAGAAAAAGCUUUUUAAGGCAGAGACUUGGCAAAUUUUGGAAAUAGCCUUGUGGAAUCUGUAAGCAAGAAGGAUGGGUAGCUGAUUUCUGUGAGGUCAAAUCUAUGUCAAACAGCUACAAAACUAGUAUUGAUAAGAACUCUGGAUAUUAUCUCAAGGAAAACAAACUGGAAAAAUAUAAGUCACGCAGUACUAACACCUUGUGCAGUCCUCUUGGAUUAGGUUUGCUUUCAACUGAAUUACUACUGCCUCAAAGAAAAUUAAAAUGGACAGAACAACUUAAUUUAAAAGUCAGUGGUAAUUUUACUAAGUUUUCUUCCCCCUACCCCACCAUGAUUAUUCAUAAAGUUUUAAAUAAUUAAAGCAUUAUUGGGUAGACUGUAAACUGAGUGUCUGGUAAAGGUGAUACAUUUACCUUAGUUGUGACCUUUUCUGAAAUUUUUCAGAGUUUCUGCAAUACUGAAGUAUUAGUAAUAGUGAGCUAAUGAAAAAAAGUUUUUCUUUAAGGGUACUGCAAAGAUGUUUGGGAAGAUGGCUUGUGUUAAAGCCUUGUAGAAAAGUAAUUUUAAGCAUGUGAAACUGUGUCUAAAGAUUACUGCAGUGGUGUUGUGUCCCCCCCAACUUGUUAUUUUGACCAUAAAUUAAAGACUUGCAGCAAUAUAAGUAUUUUAAAUUUUUAGGCUCACUGAACUAGUUCUGUGUGUUGUCUUAUCAGUAUCUAAAAGUUGAUCUAGCUUCAGUAUUUUGCUUUCUUUGAAUGGCUUUGCCGUUUUGUUAUUUCAACUUCUAUUUCAGUUUUGCUGUUUUGAAAACUUGGAAACUGUGGAACAUGAAUAAGUCUGUGUAAUCUCGUGGCUGUGGCUUGGGGUUCUGUGACAUUGAGUCUCAGUGUGGCUGGGAUUGACUGAAUUAACUGAGCCACAUGUAAAGGAACCAAACUAACAGAAUAGAAUGAUCUUCUUCGUUCUUUUAGUUGCAUUAGUCUGUGUUUUGCUUGAAAACACUUGGUAAAUGGGAAGAAUUCAGGUGUGAGUGGUCAUUUUAUUAGAUUUUGUCUAUUAUAUGGCCAUAAACAUAUUAAUACGAGUACUUGCUUCUUAAAUCAUAGAAAAGUAAUGCUUGUCUUAUUUCAAGCUAUUAACUUUCAGUGCUAUGAGAUAUUUUUAUCUCUUGACAAGGGGUGCUCACUGAAAUCAAGGAAUUGCAUUCCCUCUGUGGGUGACAUCUUUAUCUGGACUCUUUUUCUACUGGACAUUUUGAAGAGUUUGCUUUUUAGCUUUAUAAAAUUAACUCUUUCUUUACAUCUUUCUGGUUGCUGGUAGGAUAAUUCUUUUUUUUCUUUUCACCAUGUUUGUACUUGGGAUGUGCAGUUCUGAUUUGUAUGCACAUGUAUUUGACACAGUGUCAAAUUCAGGCAUGUUAUACAGCUGUGCCCUUGUUCCCUAAGCAAAAUUCACACUUGGGUAAGGAGAAAAUGCCUAGAAUGCUAGUCCACUUUAAUUCCUUCUUUAGAUUUUUACUUGUAUAAUGCUGACAGUCUGUGAAGUGGUUUACUGACAACUAUGAAGAUGAGGUCCUUGCCCCAGAGAGUUUAUACUUUAAGCUUUGAUGUAAACAUAGGUUUUGUCCUGGAAUAACUGACAGCAACUGGGCUCUUUUACUGAUGUGUUUAUUCUGCUAGAAUCCUAAAAUGGGUACGUUUGCAUUGAGAAAUUGUCUUGAAUGGUGUAGGCUGCUCUGCUGUGUGGGGAAAAAAACCUGCUGAUGGAAAUUUCUAAGAGUAAGCAGAGUUUAAACUUGCAGCAAAACUUAAGUGGAAUUAAAUCUGUAAAAUGAUAUAGGGAAAUUUUCCUUUCAAAGUGUUAAAAGGUUGGUUGUAAAGUUUGAAGCUUAUUUUGUUGUGGCUGUACAUUUACAUGGAGAGAAAAUAAGGGAAAUGAAAUAAUCUUUAGUUCAAGUAGUUAUAAGGCUUUUGCAGCAGUUUGUGAUCAGUAGAACUGUUUCCAUUUUCAAAAACUCCAUAAAGCUUGUGUGCGGGUUUUGAAAAGUCUUUUUUACUAACAUACAAAUUUUGGAUAGCAAAAUAACAGCUUGAAACUAGCUUGUUUUGCUUUGUUCAAACUAAAUGAAUGACAGACUAAGGAAGAGCUCUAAUAAGCUGUGUUUUUAAAGCGGAAUAAAAAUGUAGAUGUAUAGGCUUUAAACA
This 2427-nucleotide long non-coding RNA is filed under the name Calidris pygmaea (Spoon-billed sandpiper). RNAcentral's name for it is "lncRNA (ENSCPGG00000017199.1)". Lineage: Eukaryota; Metazoa; Chordata; Aves; Charadriiformes; Scolopacidae. The record is from RNAcentral.